RNAcentral lists this ribosomal RNA (805 nucleotides) under Micrococcus antarcticus. RNAcentral's name for it is "bacterial SSU rRNA". It matches the Rfam family "Bacterial small subunit ribosomal RNA", at positions 389 to 1205 of the family's 1533-position model. The record is from RNAcentral. Lineage: Bacteria; Bacillati; Actinomycetota; Actinomycetes; Micrococcales; Micrococcaceae.
CAGCGACGCCGCGUGAGGGAUGACGGCCUUCGGGUUGUAAACCUCUUUCAGUAGGGAAGAAGCGAAAGUGACGGUACCUGCAGAAGAAGCACCGGCUAACUACGUGCCAGCAGCCGCGGUAAUACGUAGGGUGCGAGCGUUAUCCGGAAUUAUUGGGCGUAAAGAGCUCGUAGGCGGUUUGUCGCGUCUGUCGUGAAAGUCCGGGGCUUAACCCCGGAUCUGCGGUGGGUACGGGCAGACUAGAGUGCAGUAGGGGAGACUGGAAUUCCUGGUGUAGCGGUGGAAUGCGCAGAUAUCAGGAGGAACACCGAUGGCGAAGGCAGGUCUCUGGGCUGUAACUGACGCUGAGGAGCGAAAGCAUGGGGAGCGAACAGGAUUAGAUACCCUGGUAGUCCAUGCCGUAAACGUUGGGCACUAGGUGUGGGGAACAUUCCACGUUUUCCGCGCCGCAGCUAACGCAUUAAGUGCCCCGCCUGGGGAGUACGGCCGCAAGGCUAAAACUCAAAGGAAUUGACGGGGGCCCGCACAAGCGGCGGAGCAUGCGGAUUAAUUCGAUGCAACGCGAAGAACCUUACCAAGGCUUGACAUGUUCUCGAUCGCCGUAGAGAUACGGUUUCCCCUUUGGGGCGGGUUCACAGGUGGUGCAUGGUUGUCGUCAGCUCGUGUCGUGAGAUGUUGGGUUAAGUCCCGCAACGAGCGCAACCCUCGUUCCAUGUUGCCAGCACUUCGGGUGGGGACUCAUGGGAGACUGCCGGGGUCAACUCGGAGGAAGGUGGGGACGACGUCAAAUCAUCAUGCCCCUUAU